AUUUUCGGCCAUGGGCGCAAGCCUCACCGAGCAACGCCGCGUGAGUGAUGACGGCCUACGGGUAGUACCACUCUUUUGUAGUGGAAGAAUAGGCUGUAGAGGAAAUGCUAUAGUUCUGACGGUACCCUACCCGACAGCCACGGCUAACGAUGUGCCAGCAGCCGCGGCAAUACGUAUGUGGCUAGCGUUAUCCGGAAUUAUUAGGCUUAAAGGGUGAGUAGGCGGCUUAUUAAGGCUGUGGUUAAAGUGCGGGGCUCAACCCCGUAUUGCCUUAGAAACUGGUAAGCUAGAGUGAAGGAGAGGGCAGUGGAAUUCCAUGUGUAGCGGUAAAAUGCGUAGAUAUAUGGAGGAACACCGGUGGCGAAGGCGGCUGCCUGGCCUUUAACUGACGCUGAGGCACGAAAGCGUGGGGAGCAAACAG
Molecule: ribosomal RNA, 421 nt
Filed under: uncultured bacterium
Lineage: Bacteria
Description: partial 16S ribosomal RNA
Rfam family: Bacterial small subunit ribosomal RNA
Source: RNAcentral